AGUUACCGCUGAAUUUAUCUAUACGUCACCACUGGUUGAUCCGUUUUAAUUAUUGUCGUCAUCCAUUCACACCGAUUGAAGAAUAGAAACCAACUCUGUUGCUCUCCUUUUCUGGCCUUCUCCAUUCCUCCUCCGUCUCCCGUCCGUAAGAUGGAACCGUCGAAUCGGAAGAGGAGAGUAGGCGGCGACGACGACGGCCGUCCGCCGUCGAGACCGCGACCGUCGUCCCCGCAGCGGCUCCAUGACAGGCGUCGGGCGGCGACGGACGACGAGGUCGAGGAGUUCUUCGCCAUCCUCCGCCGAACGCGCGAUGCGCUGCGGUGCCUCGUCUCCCGGCCAAGGCCGGCGCCCACGUCGACGAGGUGGAGCCCGGAGUUCGCGUGGGAGGACUUCGCCGGGCACGGCACCACAAAAGACGACGGCGACACGGGUGUGGCCGCGGAGCAGAGGCCGCCGGCUUCGACGGAUCCGGCCGGACCUGCGGAUAUCGUCGCACCGAGGCUCCUCGAUCUCAACGCCGACCCGGAUCCCGAGAGCCUGGCAGCGGUGAGUCCUCAUCCCGGUGCAGCUACCGCCCACUGGGCUCGAGCGCUCGCUUAAUUCCUUUAGGUCACAUCGACUCACAAGCGGUUGGGAUCCGACGAGGGCGUGUUGCGUGAUGUCAUGGUAUUGCCCGUGAAUUCAUGGGACCGACGCCCAUGGCUGGUUGGCCAAGAUGACUCUCAGGUCCUCUGAGAGAGAGAGAGAGACUUAACUUUAGGGUGAGUCAGCUGUCUUUUCCGAUAGUAAUGGUGCUUAAAUGUCGCACAAGCAUUAAGUCAGCAAACGCAGGCCUGCAACCACGGCAAAGUCACAACGUAAGAAUACUGUACAAGCAAUAGGUAUCGGGGGUUCAGAGACCAUUCUCAUGUUCGGGCCACUCGCUACGUUGCUUAUAUUGAAAGCGUCAGACAGCAGUAUCAAUUAUUUCUUUGACUUUUAGAGUUAUUACCUACCAAUCUUCUCUCCA
Long non-coding RNA from Musa acuminata AAA Group (dessert banana), 1009 nucleotides. RefSeq lists it as uncharacterized. The transcript is spliced from 2 exons. The record is from RefSeq and is a predicted model, not a curated record. NCBI's taxonomy places the organism in Eukaryota, Viridiplantae, Streptophyta, Magnoliopsida, Zingiberales, Musaceae.